AGCUGGUAGGGAAGUAGCUUUAGAAGGCUGAGGAAGUAGUAAAGAGGGCAGUUCUUUCUCCUUAAUCUUCAAUGAAGAAAGAUCUUCAUAUGGCCUUGGAGAGUCUAGAUCUUUCAGAUCUAGAUCCAUAAAGGCCUAAAACCCACAAAGAGACCAAAGAAGCAAGUAGACAACACCUAGAAGUAAAUAAAUUGUCAAUGAAAAAUGAACCAAAGAAACUCUAACUGUUUCACCAA
This 236-nucleotide long non-coding RNA is filed under the name Elaeis guineensis (African oil palm). RNAcentral's name for it is "long non-coding RNA (EGUI_LNC010149)". The record is from RNAcentral. Lineage: Eukaryota; Viridiplantae; Streptophyta; Magnoliopsida; Arecales; Arecaceae.